RNAcentral lists this ribosomal RNA (933 nucleotides) under uncultured bacterium. RNAcentral's name for it is "bacterial SSU rRNA". It matches the Rfam family "Bacterial small subunit ribosomal RNA", at positions 8 to 916 of the family's 1533-position model. The record is from RNAcentral.
AGAGUUUGAUCAUGGCUCAGAACUAACGCUGGCGGCGUGCCUAACACAUGCAAGUCGUACGAGAAAGUUGGCUUCGGCCGAUGAGUAAAGUGGCGCACGGGUGAGUAACGCGUGGAUAAUCUACCCCUCAGUUGGGAAUAACUCAUCGAAAGGUGGGCUAAUACCGAAUAAUACUGCAUGACUUCUGUUGUGUAGUCAAAGAUGGCCUCUGCUUGCAAGCUAUCGCUGAAGGAUGAGUCCGCGUACCAUUAGCUAGUUGGUAGGGUAAUGGCCUACCAAGGCAACGAUGGUUAGCUGGUCUGAGAGGAUGAUCAGCCACACUGGAACUGAGACACGGUCCAGACUCCUACGGGAGGCAGCAGUGAGGAAUAUUGCGCAAUGGGGGCAACCCUGACGCAGCAACGCCGCGUGAGUGAGGAAGGUUUUCGGACCGUAAAGCUCUGUCGAGCGGGAAGAAAUGCAUAGUGGCUAAUAUCCAUUAUGCUUGACGGUACCGCUAAAGGAAGCACCGGCUAACUCCGUGCCAGCAGCCGCGGUAAUACGGGGGGUGCUAGCGUUGUUCGGAAUCAUUGGGCGUAAAGAGCGUGUAGGCGGCUGGAUAAGUCAGAUGUGAAAGCCCUGGGCUUAACCCAGGAAGUGCAUUUGAAACUGUUCAGCUUGAGUAAGGGAGAGGAAAGUGGAAUUCCUGGUGUAGAGGUGAAAUUCGUAGAUAUCAGGAGGAACACCGGUGGCGAAGGCGACUUUCUGGCCCUAUACUGACGCUGAGACGCGAGAGCGUGGGUAGCAAACAGGAUUAGAUACCCUGGUAGUCCACGCUGUAAACGAUGUUCACUAGGUGUUGGGGGUAUUGACCCUCUCAGUGCCGCAGCUAACGCAUUAAGUGAACCGCCUGGAGAGUACGGUCGCAAGAUUAAAACUCAAAGGAAUUGACGG